GAGUUUGAUCCUGGCUCAGGAUAAACGUUGGCGGCGUGCCUAACGCAUGCAAGUCGCACGAGAGCUUCGGCUCUAGUGGCGGACGGGUGAGUAACACGCAGGAACCUGCCCGGAAGUGGGGGAUAACUCUCCGAAAGGAGAGCUAAUACCGCAUACGGUCUACGGACCAAAGCUCAGGCGCUUCCGGAGGGGCCUGCGGCGGAUUAGCUAGUUGGUGGGGUAAUGGCCUACCAAGGCGACGAUCCGUAGCUGGUCUGAGAGGAUGGUCAGCCACACUGGGACUGAGACACGGCCCAGACUCCUACGGGAGGCAGCAGCGAGGAAUUUUGCACAAUCGACGCAAGUCGGAUGCAGCAACGCCGCGUGCGGGAAGAAGGCCUUCGGGUUGUAAACCGCUUUUGUGGGGGAAGAAGAUCUGACGGUACCCCACGAAUAAGUCACGGCUAACUACGUGCCAGCAGCCGCGGUAAUACGUAGGUGGCAAACGUUGUCCGGAUUUACUGGGCGUAAAGCGCGCGCAGGCGGAUUGGUCAGUCCGAGGUUAAAGCUCCCGGCUCAACUGGGAGAGGCCCUUGGAUACUGCCAAUCUUGAGGGGCCUAGAGGAGAGUGGAAUUCCCGGUGUAGUGGUGGAAUGCGUAGAUAUCGGGAGGAACACCAGUGGCGAAGGCGGCUCUCUGGGGGCAACCUGACGCUGAGGCGCGAAAGCAUGGGGAGCAAACCGGAUUAGAUACCCGGGUAGUCCAUGCCGUAAACGA
This 756-nucleotide ribosomal RNA is filed under the name uncultured bacterium. Its description in RNAcentral is "bacterial SSU rRNA". It matches the Rfam family "Bacterial small subunit ribosomal RNA", at positions 9 to 809 of the family's 1533-position model. The record is from RNAcentral.